AUACGGAGGGGGCUAGCGUUGUUCGGAAUUACUGGGCGUAAAGCGCGCGUAGGCGGCUUAUCAAGUUAGGCGUGAAAGGCCUGGGCUCAACCCGGGAACUGCGCUUAAUACUGGUAGACUUGAGUCCGGGAGAGGGUGGCGGAAUUCCCAGUGUAGAGGUGAAAUGCGUUGAUAUUGGGAAGAACACCGGUGGCGAAGGCGGCUACCUGGACCGGUACUGACGCUAAGGUGCGAAAGCGUGGGGAGCAAACAGGAUUAGAAACCCCAGUAGUCC
RNAcentral lists this ribosomal RNA (274 nucleotides) under uncultured bacterium. RNAcentral's name for it is "partial 16S ribosomal RNA". It matches the Rfam family "Bacterial small subunit ribosomal RNA", at positions 523 to 796 of the family's 1533-position model. The record is from RNAcentral.